RNAcentral lists this ribosomal RNA (507 nucleotides) under Dinophyceae gen. sp. antifer_Cons4. RNAcentral's name for it is "partial 24S large subunit ribosomal RNA". It matches the Rfam family "Eukaryotic large subunit ribosomal RNA", at positions 62 to 665 of the family's 3401-position model. Lineage: Eukaryota; Dinophyceae. The record is from RNAcentral.
AAACUAACCAGGAUUCCCUCAGUAACUGCGAGUGAAGCGGGAAAGCUCAGACUGAAAAUCUUCGGAAUUGUAGUCUGGAGAAGUAUGGUCAGCCGAUAAUGAUGGGUAAAGUCUUCUGGAAAGGAGCGCCAUGGAGGGUGAUAGCCCCGUUCAUACCUAUUAUUAGAAGCGUACGACCUGCUUUCUACGAGUCGAGUUGUUUGGGACUGCAGCUCUAAGUGGGUGGUAAAUUCCAUCUAAAGCUAAAUAUUGGUGGUAGACCGAUAGCGAACAAGUACCGUGAGGGAAAGAUGCAAAGAACUUUGAAAAGAGAGUUAAAUAGUACCUGAAAUUGCUGAAAUGGAACCGAUGGGAGGCAGUGUCGGUGGCGGAUACUUGUAUCUGUCACAAGUAGGGCUUCUUUUCUAGCGCGGGAAAGGCUGAUGAACUAGUUUAGGUCAUCUUGUCCGUCGUGCUGGGGAAGGACUUCUACGAAAUGCCUCUCAUCACCCCGUCUUGAAACACGGA